Molecule: ribosomal RNA, 405 nt
Filed under: uncultured bacterium
Lineage: Bacteria
Description: partial 16S ribosomal RNA
Rfam family: Bacterial small subunit ribosomal RNA
Source: RNAcentral
AUUGAACGCUAGCGGGAUGCUUUACACAUGCAAGUCGAACGAGUGGCGGACGGGUGAGUAAUAUAUCGGAACGUGCCCAGUCGAGGGGGAUAACUACUCGAAAGAGUGGCUAAUACCGCAUACUCUUGGAGCGGCCGAUAUCGGAUUAGCUAGUUGGGGGGGUAAAGGCUCACCAAGGCAACGAUCCGUAGCCGGUUUGAGAGGAUGACCAGCCACACUGGGACGGAGACACGGCCCAGACUCCUACGGGAGGCAGCAGUGGGGAAUUUCGGACAAUGGGGGAAACCCUGAUGCAGCCAUCCCGCGUGUAUGAGAAGGCCUUCGGGUUGUAAAGUACUUUUGGCAGAGAAGCGGUAUCUGCAGAAUAAGCACCGGCUAACUACGUGCCAGCAGCCGCGGUAAUUC